RNAcentral lists this transfer RNA (66 nucleotides) under Hypsauchenia hardwickii. RNAcentral describes it as "tRNA-Ser". The record is from RNAcentral. Lineage: Eukaryota; Metazoa; Arthropoda; Insecta; Hemiptera; Membracidae.
AAGAGUAAAUGAAUAAAAGUAGCUGCUAACUAACUUUUAAAGCGGUUAAAUUCCGUAAUAUUCUUU